ACAUCAUUGCAAAGCCUGCGAAACCACUGCAUUGUAUAAGUAUAGUAACAUCCUGCAUUUGGCAAAACAAGGGAGAGGCGCUUGUAGUCUCGCAGCUUCUUUGUGUCGGCGAGAAACAGCAGCAGGUGCCAUAGGUGUUUUCCUGAAACAAGAAGAUGGUCUGACUGAUCAUUAAUGCGUGCCGCUAUGUGGCCAAGAAAAUAACGUCCUCAAUAAGGGGAGAGGAAGAGGAGAAGGCAGCCACGACUGAUCCUGUGAAGUCUUCAUCAUGUGUUCUGCGAUCAGGAUGCAAAAAAGAUGGUGCAGCUCUGGCUUCUCCUGCUUCUCUCUCUGCCCCCCUUACUUCUGACCCAGAUGAGAAUUCCUCUUCCAACUCAGCCAUCCAAACACGUGAUUCUGUGCCUUACUAAAACCCGAAAAGGAUUUAUUUUACAAGAUGGCAUGUCUAGAGAAGGGGCAACACAGCAGAAGGAUGACCCCCCUCUCAGAAGCUUCUAACUUCAGAGGUUGAGAGGAGGUGAAGAAUAUAUCUGAUGUGUUGUAAAUAAAAAUCUGAAACCUA
Molecule: long non-coding RNA, 562 nt
Organism: Xenopus laevis (African clawed frog)
Lineage: Eukaryota; Metazoa; Chordata; Amphibia; Anura; Pipidae
Exons: 3
Source: RefSeq, a predicted model, not a curated record